GCAUCAUUGGUCUAGUGGUAGAAUCCAUCGUUGCCAUCUGAUCUGACGAAUAAGUCGGUCACGUGAUCGAAAUUCGAUGGGGCCCGUGUUCGAUUCACGGAUGAUGCA
Non-coding RNA from Blastomyces silverae, 108 nucleotides. The record is from the annotation of a GenBank genome assembly. Lineage: Eukaryota; Fungi; Ascomycota; Eurotiomycetes; Onygenales; Ajellomycetaceae.